RNAcentral lists this long non-coding RNA (1733 nucleotides) under Lathyrus oleraceus (garden pea). Its description in RNAcentral is "Pisum sativum (pea) long non-coding RNA (PSAT_LNC038811)". Lineage: Eukaryota; Viridiplantae; Streptophyta; Magnoliopsida; Fabales; Fabaceae. The record is from RNAcentral.
ACCACACACUUCCUCUCUUAUCUCCACCUAAAACUUCAAACUUCAAACCGCCACUAAAUCUCUGCCUUGUAACUUCUCCACCAUCCAACACCCUUCUCUGUCGUCCAUCAUACUCCCUUCGAUCCGACCUUCACCUUCGGAAAAAAAAAACUCAACUUUUCCCUUCUCCGAUCUACGACACCGCCAACCAUCAUAAACACAUCACAUACAACCUUUCCACCCUUUGAUCCAUUUUCCAAUCGCGUUUUUGAUCCAAUACCACCCUUCACUCACCGGUAACCACCGCGACAUAUCAUCCUUUGCUCUUCUCAAGAUACUCGAACGCGGCUUUAACGAUUUGGAGAAAUCAGGAGCAUUCCAUAUUCCACUUUCGGUGGUCUGAGAAUAACAUUUAUGCACAACAUCAAGUUUUCCGGAUACCCGUGAAUAAGAAAUUCCACAAUAAAAUAAUUCUGCACAGCAACAACUUUCGGUUUUGGGUCGCGUCUUUUCUUCUUACUCGAUUUCAAUGUUGUUGGAUUGUGAUUAAUUUGUUUUUGUAUCUUGAUUCUUUUUCUUUACUAUUUGUUCUGUUUAUAGCAUUUCGUCCUAUUCGUUUAGUGUUUGGUAUGCUUGGCUUUUAUGGUUCUGUUAUGGAUAAGUUGGAUUUCAUGAUAAUCACUUUUAACAGUUUUAAUCGGGUAUUAUAAUACGUAGUUGCUGCUACUGAUUCUAUUUGGUUGAGAUGUAUUAGGUAAGAUCGGACAUUUAUCCGUGAUUUCGACAUUGAUAAUAUGUUGUUAUGACCACCAAUUUCUAUUUUGAUAUCUAUUUUGAUAUGUCAACUUAAUUUUCUACAGCUUCUUUUGUAUGUUAUGGUAUGAUAUUCUAUUUCGAUGAAUGCUAAAGAAGUUGUUGCUGUCAUGAUUCGAGUUGCUGAAUUGCCGUAGAUGUUUGUUGGAAAUAAUAGGUAAUGAGUUCUUUCUAUUUGUACAGACCCUUUAAACUUGAUGUUGUUAACUUUUACUUAAGUUGUUUCUCGUUGUUCUGGAGCUAGCUUGAGUUGAAGUCUUGUUAACUUUUACUUAAGUGAUUUCUCAUUUGUUCCCAGCAUAACAUGUGCUAGUGAGUUCUUUUUUUUAAUUAUUUAUUUUUUUAAUUUGUGUUAUCAUGCUAUUUUAUCUGAGGUUGUCCAUUUCAUGUUAAAUUAUUUCAAAAUUGAAUUGCAUCUUAUGGUUACAAGUUGUUAAAUAUGUAAGACUUGGUGGAACAUGUUGCUUGGUUGCCUUAACAUCUAGUAUUGCAUAAUUUUCCCCCCAACCAUUUUAUGCUUCAUCAUUAUCGUCACUACCUAUUUCUAUCACCAAGAGGAUACUUGGACAUGUCUCUAAUGACAUUGUCAUUUUUAAAGUUGUUUGCUCUAUUUUCUACUUUGUUUCUAGGUUGGACUUGGAUGGAUGGACUGAUAUUGGAAUUAAUAUCCAAUUUUUAUUUGUUUAAAUUCUAUUUUUUUAAUAUUAUAUACUCACUUUUAUCAAUAAUGGUUAUGUUAUAAAUUUUAGUAAAAGGAAACAAGAGAGUCACGUGGUAAGAGUGGGGGACGACUCCCUUUUAUUGCCAUUUUUUUGUUACUUUUAUUUAUUAUUAUUAUUAUUAUUAUUUAUUUUAUUUAUUCUGUUAAUAAAUGGUUUUAUUAUUAUUAUUAUUAUUUAUUUUAUUUAUUCUGUUCAUUUAAUAUUCACACUCCAUUUUCC